UACGUAGGGGGCGAGCGUUACCCGGAUUUAUUGGGUUUAAAGGGUGCGUAGGCGGGAUGCCAAGUCAGCGGUAAAAAUGCGGUGCUCAACGCCGUCGAGCCGUUGAAACUGGCGUUCUUGAGUGGGCGAGAAGUAUGCGGAAUGCGUGGUGUAGCGGUGAAAUGCAUAGAUAUCACGCAGAACUCCGAUUGCGAAGGCAGCAUACCGGCGCCCUACUGACGCUGAGGCACGAAAGCGUGGGUAUCGAACAGG
Molecule: ribosomal RNA, 252 nt
Filed under: uncultured bacterium
Lineage: Bacteria
Description: partial 16S ribosomal RNA
Rfam family: Bacterial small subunit ribosomal RNA
Source: RNAcentral